CCUACGGGUGGCAGCAGUGAGGAAUAUUGGUCAAUGGGCGCUAGCCUGAACCAGCCAAGCCGCGUGAAGGAUGACUGCCCCAUGGGUUGUAAACUUCUUUUAUAUGGGAAUAAAGUGCAGCAUGUAUACUGCUUUGCAUGUACUUUAUGAAUAAGCAUCGGCUAACUCCGUGCCAGCAGCCGCGGUAAUACGGAGGAUCCGAGCGUUAUCCGGAUUUAUUGGGUUUAAAGGGUGCGUAGGCGGGUUGUUAAGUCAGUUGUGAAAGUUUGCGGCUCAACCGUAAGAUUGCAGUUGAAACUGGCAGUCUUGAGUACAGGUGAGGUAGGCGGAAUUCGUGGUGUAGCGGUGAAAUGCUUAGAUAUCACGAAGAACUCCGAUUGCGAAGGCAGCUUAC
RNAcentral lists this ribosomal RNA (394 nucleotides) under uncultured bacterium. RNAcentral's name for it is "partial 16S ribosomal RNA". It matches the Rfam family "Bacterial small subunit ribosomal RNA", at positions 338 to 729 of the family's 1533-position model. The record is from RNAcentral.